This 301-nucleotide ribosomal RNA is filed under the name uncultured bacterium. RNAcentral describes it as "partial 16S ribosomal RNA". It matches the Rfam family "Bacterial small subunit ribosomal RNA", at positions 509 to 809 of the family's 1533-position model. The record is from RNAcentral.
CAGUAGCCGCGGUAAUACGAAGGGGGCUAGCGUUGUUCGGAUUAACUGGGCGUAAAGGGUGCGUAGGCGGGUUUUUAAGUCAGAGGUGAAAUCCCAAGGCUCAACCUUGGAACUGCCUUUGAUACUGGAAAUCUUGAGUCCGGGAGAGGUGAGUGGAACUGCGAGUGUAGAGGUGAAAUUCGUAGAUAUUCGCAGGAACACCAGUGGCGAAGGCGGCUCACUGGCCCGGAACUGACGCUGAGGCACGAAAGCGUGGGGAGCAAACAGGAUUAGAUACCCCAGUAGUCCCUGUCUCUUAUAA